CGCAGCCCGAGUGGUGGUCAUUAUUAUUGAGCCUAAAGCGUCCGUAGCCGGACUCGUAAAUCCUUGGGUAAAUCGGGCAGCUUAACUGUCCGAAUUCCGAGGAGACUGCGAGUCUUGGGACCGGGAGAGGUCAGAGGUACUCCAGGGGUAAGGGCUAAAUCUUGUAAUCCUUGGGGGACCACCAGUGGCGAAGGCGUCUGACUAGAACGGAUCCGACGGUAAGGGACGAAACCCUGGGGCGCAAACGG
This 248-nucleotide ribosomal RNA is filed under the name uncultured euryarchaeote. Its description in RNAcentral is "partial 16S ribosomal RNA". It matches the Rfam family "Archaeal small subunit ribosomal RNA", at positions 478 to 726 of the family's 1478-position model. Lineage: Archaea; Methanobacteriati; Methanobacteriota. The record is from RNAcentral.